Molecule: ribosomal RNA, 374 nt
Filed under: uncultured eukaryote
Lineage: Eukaryota
Description: partial 18S ribosomal RNA
Rfam family: Eukaryotic small subunit ribosomal RNA
Source: RNAcentral
CAAUAGCGUAUAUUUAAGUUGUUGCAGUUAAAAAGCUCGUAGUUGGAUUUCUGCUGAUCGCUGUCGGUCUGCCGCCAGGUGUGUACUGGCAGUGUUUGGCAUCUAUUCGAGAUUGGGUGCCCACUUGAUUGUGUGCACUCGAUGUCGGAGCUAAUACUUUGAGAAAAUUAGAGUGUUCCACGCAGGCGCGUGCCUUGAAUACUGCAGCAUGGGAUAUUGGAAGGCCGAUUGAGCUUUCUUGUUGGUUCUCGGUUUGAUCGGAAUGAUUAAUAGGGAUAGUUGGGGGCAUUCGUAUUCAACUGUCAGAGGUGAAAUUCUUGGAUUUGUUGAAGACGGACUACUGCGAAAGCAUCUGCCAUGGAUGUUCUCAUUGA